This 465-nucleotide ribosomal RNA is filed under the name uncultured bacterium. RNAcentral's name for it is "partial 16S ribosomal RNA". It matches the Rfam family "Bacterial small subunit ribosomal RNA", at positions 338 to 795 of the family's 1533-position model. The record is from RNAcentral.
CCUACGGGUGGCAGCAGUAGGGAAUCUUCCACAAUGGGCGAAAGCCUGAUGGAGCAACGCCGCGUGGGUGAAGAAGGUCUUCGGAUCGUAAAACCCUGUUGUUAGAGAAGAAAGUGCGUGAGAGUAACUGUUCACGUUUCGACGGUAUCUAACCAGAAAGCCACGGCUAACUACGUGCCGGCAGCCGCGGUAAUACGUAGGUGGCAAGCGUUAUCCGGAUUUAUUGGGCGUAAAGGGAACGCAGGCGGUCUUAUAAGUCUGAGGGGAAAGCCUUCGGCUUAACCGGAGUAGUGCAUUGGAAACUGGGAGACUUGAGUGCAGAAGAGGAGAGUGGAACUCCAUGUGUAGCGGUGAAAUGCGUAGAUAUAUGGAAGAACACCAGUGGCGAAAGCGGCUCUCUGGUCUGUAACUGACGCUGAGGUUCGAAAGCGUGGGUAGCAAACAGGAUUAGAUACCCGGGUAGUC